Molecule: non-coding RNA, 125 nt
Organism: Triticum aestivum (bread wheat)
Lineage: Eukaryota; Viridiplantae; Streptophyta; Magnoliopsida; Poales; Poaceae
Source: Rfam
CAUAUACUCCCUCCGUCCGAAAAUACUUGUCGAAGAAAUGGAUGUACUUAGAUGUAUUUUAGUUCUAGAUACAUCCAUUUUUAUCCAUUUUGGCGACAAGUAAUUCCGGACGGAGGGAGUAUAUG